AUGUACCUUUCCCCUUUAUUUAUUUACAUGGGUUGUUGUGAAGAUUACCUCACUUGCGACAUUGCUUUCAAUGCGGUUAUGCCUCUAAGUCGUGCUUCGACCCGUGGGAGAUAUAGCCGCAUCGAGGGUGUUACAAUUGAUGAUGCCACUUCUGCUAUGCAUGAUACUUAUGAUGAAACUACCUCUACGCCUGAUACUACUGUGCCACUUAGUGAUUUCCUUGAUGAACAAAUUCCUAGGGCUAGAGAAAUUGAAAAUAUUGAAUCUGAUGAUACCGAUGAAAGUGAUGAUGAAGAAUCACUUGUUAUUCCUAAGGGUUAUGUUUUUGAUCAAGAAGCUUCUUUCGCUAUUUUAGCUUGCGAAAAUAGAAAUGAACUUAAAAGGUUAUUAGCUAAAUGGAGUAAGAAAUCUCUAAGUGCUAGAAUGAAACCUGACCCUGCUUUUGCUACUUCACCUAUCUGUGUUACUGAUAAGGAUUAUGAAUUCUCUGUUGAUCCUGAUAUAAUUACUUUGGUUGAAUCUGAUCCUUUUCAUGGUUAUGAAUUUGAAACUGUUGUGGCACAUCUUACUAAAUUAAAUGAUAUAGCCACCCUAUUCACUAAAGAUGAGAGAACCCGUUACUUUUACAUUCUUAAAAUAUUUCUGUUCUCACUGAAGGGUGAUGCUAAGAUAUGGUUUAAUUCUCUUGAUCCUGCUUGUGUGCGUAGUCCCCAGGAUAUGAUUUAUUACUUCUCUACUAAAUAUUUCCCUGCUCAUAGGAAACAAGCUGCUUUAAGGGAUAUAUAUAAUUUUGUGCAAAUUGAAGAAGAGAGUCUCCCACAAGCUUGGGGGAGGCUUCUCCAAUUACUGAAUGCUUUGCCUGAUCAUCCUCUUAAGAAAAAUGAAAUACUUGAUAUCUUUUAUAAUGGACUAACCGAUGCCUCCAGAGAUUAUCUGAAUAGCUGUGCUAGUUCUGUUUUCAGGGAAAGAACACCGGAUGAAGCUGAAAUUCUAUUGAACAAUAUGUUGACAAAUGAAAAUAAUUGGACACCUCCGGAGCCAAUUCCUGAGCCUAUUCCUAAACCAACUCCGAAGAAGAGGGGUAUUCUAUUUCUCAGUCCUGAAGAUAUGCAAGAGGCAAAGAAAUCUAUGAAAGGAAAAUGUAUUAAAGCUAAAGAUGUUAAGAAUUUACCUUAA
Molecule: ribosomal RNA, 1176 nt
Filed under: Triticum aestivum (bread wheat)
Lineage: Eukaryota; Viridiplantae; Streptophyta; Magnoliopsida; Poales; Poaceae
Description: partial small subunit ribosomal RNA
Source: RNAcentral